GACGAACGCUGGCGGCGUGCUUAACACAUGCAAGUCGAACGGAAAGGCCCUGCUUUUGUGGGGUGCUCGAGUGGCGAACGGGUGAGUAACACGUGAGUAACCUGCCCUUGACUUUGGGAUAACUUCAGGAAACUGGGGCUAAUACCGGAUAGGAGCUCCUGCUGCAUGGUGGGGGUUGGAAAGUUUCGGCGGUUGGGGAUGGACUCGCGGCUUAUCAGCUUGUUGGUGGGGUAGUGGCUUACCAAGGCUUUGACGGGUAGCCGGCCUGAGAGGGUGACCGGCGACAUUGGGACUGAGAUACGGCCCAGACUCCUACGGGAGGCAGCAGUGGGGAAUAUUGCACAAUGGGCGGAAGCCUGAUGCAGCAACGCCGCGUGCGGGAUGACGGCCUUCGGGUUGUAAACCGCUGUCGCAUGUGACGAAGAGUGAGUGACGGUAAUGGGUAAAGAAGCACCGGCUAACUACGUG
RNAcentral lists this ribosomal RNA (468 nucleotides) under uncultured bacterium. RNAcentral's name for it is "partial 16S ribosomal RNA". It matches the Rfam family "Bacterial small subunit ribosomal RNA", at positions 28 to 507 of the family's 1533-position model. The record is from RNAcentral.